AUUUAGAAUAUGCAUAGAACAAUUAGAAUAGUUAGGAAUUUAGGUUGAUUAGUUUAAUUGGAUAGUUAGGAUUGUGAUUAGAGUGUUAGUGUUAUUGGAAGUUAAUUUUAGAAUUAAAAUUAGAUAAUGAUUUAGAAAACUAAAAAUAUUAGAAAUAAUUAGAUGUGAUUAGGAGGAUAAUUGUUAGUUACUGUUAAUGAUUAGGACAGAUUAGGAUUAACUUGUAUUUGUUAGAGUUAAUUUAGGUUAAUUAGUUUAGUUUGGAAUUUUAGAGUUAAUUAGUCAUUAGAUUUAAAUAGUCUUAGGAAUAUUAAACCUAGAUUAAACUUUUAGGAUUUUAGAAUAUGGAUUAGAUUAGUCUAAUAGAAUUUUAGGAAAUUGGUUUUUUUAGAAUUUUAAUUAGACAUUAAAAUUUGGUUAGAAUUUAAUUAGAAAGUGAUUAGAAAUAAUUUUAGGAUUAGAAUAUGUUAGAAAUAAUUUUAGAAAUGUUAAAUCUAGUUUAGAUAUAAUUAGAAUUUUCAUGUAUAGAUAUUACUCCCUAAUUGUGAAAUGACUAUUCUACCCCUAGGCUUAGAAAUAAUUCAAUCUUGCAUGCUCCCUUAAUUUUAGGACAUGUUAUCACUUGAUUAAAUGAAUUUCAUGUGGAGUUUGAGCUUCCGUUUUGGAUUUUUGUUCCUUUUUGGCCCUAGUCUUGGACUAGUGGUUUGUGAUCUCACUUUUGAGUUGUGUUUCAGGUUAAUGGCACAAAUGGCUUAUGCUUGAUGAUGUGCUUCCAUUGGAGUUGACUUGUGGCUCGUGUAUAGCUAAUUUUGACUUUGUUUUGCAGGGUUUGAUAUUUGAGUUUGAGCCUUAAUGGCUUGCACUUUGGUGCAUUGGCUUGUGUUUGUCUGUGUAUAGUUAAUUGUGAACCAUUUGCUGUUUAAUUCUGUGAUUGGUAUACUGAUUGUAUUUGAUUGAUUUCAGGUACAUUAGUUGCUAAGAUUGCUUUGCUUUGCUUGAUAAGCAAUUUGCACUGAGGUAUAACAUUCUUGUCUCCAUGUAGUCUGGAAGACCUGGCCUGUUACUUGGCCAGACACCUGUCUGAAGUCCUCCUUAAGAGGCGAUGUUUGUGCUUGUUUAUUUUUGUCCCCAAGCAGGUAAAGGCCUCUAUGAGGCAAUUGGAGGAUAAGAGAGAUAUGCAAUCUAUCUCCCGCUCUUCUGUUGAGUCAUCCCUCUGCUCACACCACUGUGUUGAUGCAUUGGGAUACAAACCCAAGAUCUUGUACAGUGUACAGUCGUGUCAGUGUCUUAAGUGUAGAAGGGUUCCCACUUCCUGGACCCACACUUCUUUGUCUGAAGCUCUCCCUGGCCAGGGAUAAGAGCUGUGAAGUCUUAUCUUCACUCACCUUUCAUCUGCUUCACCUUGGCUCUCAAUGUCAAGGUUAAGAGCAAAACUCACCCUGUACAGUUGGCUUGCUCUUGCAGCCCCACCCUUGUUUGAGCCUCACUUGUGUGCAUAUAGUGUGUGCUGUUUGUGAUUGUUUGCUAUUGCUUGUGCUUUAGGAUAGGCUUGCUUCCUGUGCAAGUUAGCUAGAAACCUUAACUUAGGGAUGAUUUUGCAUGAUAACAUCUAGGCUCGAGUCGUAGUCUCCCUAGUUGUGUCUCCCUAUGUUAUCUGGUUAGGCUAGUCAUGUGUCCCUCCGUAGGGGAACUAUGUCGCCCUGAUCCUCAUACCAGAUGAGGUACGUAGGCAGGAGAUGAGCAGAUCUCUCCGGGCGCCUGUGUCUUUGUUUUGUCUUGUUGUGUGCUUGGAAGCUGAUGUAAGUCCAUCGAGUGGCAUUCGGGUUCCAGUGUUUGUGUGUGUUUUGGUUCGGAUGCUGAUGUAAGUCCAGUGAUUGGCAUUUGGGCUCCACGUUUGCCUUCUUGUGUGUGUUUGGUUCGGAAGCUGAUGUAAGUCCAGCAAUUGGCAUUCGGGUUCCAUGUUUGCCCGUGUUUGUGUUGUUUUGUCUGGUGCGUCUUAGCCGAGCUACGGAUGCUCUGAUUCUCCUUCGUCCGAGGAGAUACGUAUGCAUAGGAUGCGAUAUCCUAGCGAGCAUGUGUUUUCCCAGUCCGAACUACUUAGACUCUGAUGUCUAUGCUUGAUAGACUAAGUAGGCCCAGGAUGCGAUGUCCUGCCGAGUCAGUUUCAGUCUUGUUUGUUUUCUUGUGUCUCUUUCAGCCAGUGUGUGUGUGUGAGCAGUGUUUUAGCAACCAUUUUCCUUCCUAUUGUGCGUGGAUCCCGUCGAGUACGACGGAUGCGUAGGGGUGCUAAUACCUUCCCUUCGCAUAACCGACUCCCGAUCCCAUUCUCUUUGGUCGCGAGACCAUGCUUUUUCCAGGUUUACUCUGAGCGUUUCCUUUCCCUCUUUUGGGAUAAAUAACGCACGGUGGCGGCUCUGUUGUCUUCGUUUCCCGCCGGUUUUUCGCGUAAUGCGACAGAUGAAAGAUCACACCACUCACCAUGGCUUGUUGUGAAGGAUCUCCCCAGAAAGUGACACUGCUGAAAGUAAAGAUCGGACGCAACGUAUACAGCUUAACCAACACGAGUAUCCUGCACAUUCCGAAGUAAGAAAGCAAUUCCACCAAAUUAAGGAGCACUGUGGAUCCUGUCAAAGCUGAACCAAACCAAGUGAGUCAUAAAAAGCCAAACACAUUAAUCAUCAUGAGCGUCAUUCAGGUUCUUCUUUAUCACUCUAAAUUUGCGUAGACUCUCUGGGACUGUCACUGCAUGAUACACACACUGAGGCACGUUGUUUGUAAUUAACCUCGAGCCUUUCUAGCCAUCCCGAAUUAUUAUAUCCCUCAUUAACCCCCUUUGAGCCUAUAUCCAUUUUUUUGUUUAAAACACCAUAAAUGUAACCAUUGGCCACAAUAUUUCCUCACCCUGUUUAGAGUCAUGAUAAUGCAUUCAAAGCUAUGUUUAAAAGCUAAGUUUGGGGUAAAAACCCCAAAAGCUCUCAAAGCCCAAGAAAGUGCAAAAACAAGAGAAAAAUAAAAAAAAUGAUGAAUCGAGAAAAAGAAAGAAAAAGAAAAAUUCGACAACUCGAAGAUUCAAAAGAAAGAAGCACGAAAAAGGGCAGUCAGUGAAAAAGAAAUAAGAAAAGAAAACUGAGGAAAUAAAAGAAACAAACACAUGAUGUAACAUCGACUCUGAACCAAAAGCCCCUUAUUUUCCUUUUUUAAUCCAUACCCUAACCCAAGCCAAGCUACAACCCUAAAGACCUCAAAAGUGUGUGUGUUAUGUGUAGGUGAUGAGAAAAGAGAGAUUAUUCAAACUUGUGAGUGAUAUUGCAUACUUUGAAUUAUGAGUGAAAACAGCUUACCCCAAGAGAAUUGGUGAGAAUGUGAUAUAAGCUAACAGGUGAAACAGUGCUUUGAAGUGGAAGUGUGAAUAAUGACUUACGAGGAUAGGCAGGACUUGUGGAAGGAAAAGGGAAGACGUUAGCGAAUGAUCUCAACAGUGGUGGAAAACAUGAAGAAUUCUGGGGAGUGAUCAUGAAACAUUACUUGGGACAAGCAAUGAGCUAAGUUUGGGGUUAUGAUCAGUCACCAUUUACAUUGAGUUUUCAUUAUUGAUCCAAAGCAAAAUAGAGACAUUUGACACACUGUGCAAGCAUUUAUGAUCCAGGUAGAAGAACCGGAGAACUCAGAACAAGACAGUGCGAGAUUCCGGCACGCAAAGGAGUAGAAAACCCCGGCACAGGAGGUCUGGCACGGCCACCCGUGUCACCUGACACGGGCCGUGUUAGGGCAAGGGAAGCAAGAGAAGAAAACAGUAGCCUGACACGGCCACCCGUGUCAGCUGACACGGGCCGUGUCAGGCAGAAACCUCAACCGUGUCAUCCUUGCCAUGGGCGUGUCAGCUUAAACAAUAGGCUGACAUGGCCACCCGUGUCAGCCCAAGCCCAAAAUUUCCAGUUUUCUCGGGCUUUUCAUUCUACGGGCUCUUUAGAGACAUCCUUGGACCUGUCCAACUGCUGCUGGGAACUUUCACUAUAAAAAGAGGUCUUCUGCCAAAGGAAAAAUCAUCUUGGAAUACGGCAAAACACAGUAUUGUGAAGCAAUCAAGUAUUACAGAGAUCAAGGCAUUUGGAGAGCUGAAGAUAUUCAUGAGCGGGAGCGAUUGAAGAUCAAAGUCAUCCAAUUACUUGUAAUGUGUAAUUUUUAUCUUAAAUUUGUUUUAAACAAUAUGAGUAGCUAAACCCCCCAAUGCUAGGGGGUGUCCCGGAUUUAGAAUUGUAAUGAAUUUGAGUUUACAUUUGCAUUUAUAAUAUUUUGUUUACGGUAA
Long non-coding RNA from Lathyrus oleraceus (garden pea), 4306 nucleotides. RefSeq lists it as uncharacterized. NCBI's taxonomy places the organism in Eukaryota, Viridiplantae, Streptophyta, Magnoliopsida, Fabales, Fabaceae. The transcript has 2 exons. The record is from RefSeq and is a predicted model, not a curated record.